RNAcentral lists this long non-coding RNA (567 nucleotides) under Mus musculus (house mouse). RNAcentral describes it as "Hand2, opposite strand 1". The record is from RNAcentral. Lineage: Eukaryota; Metazoa; Chordata; Mammalia; Rodentia; Muridae.
AGUUUGUGCCCACACUCAUUUGCAGCAACCCUAACAGAGAUUGCGAAGAUUUUCAAAGUGGGGCACCUCGAUUUCUCGAAUCUGUGGUGUGGCGAAUAUCCGUGUUCCUCCUGCUUAACUAGCCUGUUUGAAGGCACAGUUCAUUCUCGAGCAAUUCGUCACCUCCUGGGGGUCUUCUCUUCCCGUCUACAGGAGAGUGUGACUUCAGAAAGAACUUCGGAUUGGCCAAGGCCAUUAAAGCUGGUGAGCGACUUGGAAGUCAUUUAGAAAGGAACAGACCUUCAACCUCAAGCCUUUGCGGGCACUGGGAAAGUGUCUUCCCAAUCAAUCUGGCUUGCAGGCGGCAGGACCAACUCUGACCUGGCUUAUCUUGUACCCAUCCUAAAUACACCAAACUCAAGAGGUAGCCAGGGCCGCCUCAACACCGAGGUCAGUGCUCUGGGUGCCUUAGUUUCUCUCUUUAUUCAAACAGUGGUGGAAAUGAAAGAGGGAUGUGAGCUAGAUUAAAAGGAUCAAGGGAGAGUGUUGCCUGAUACCAAGCUGCGCUCAAUAAUUAUUUACAUCUUU